UCGAAUCUAAUAUUUUUUAGAAGAUAGAAGGAUUUAUUUUUUUUCUAAAUAAGGAUAUGCGUUUUUUAUGAUAAUUUAAUAAUCAGUAUUUUCUUAUUAAUAUGACAAAAGUGAAGAAAUAAAAAUUCUUUUAAUUUCUUUAAAAACCACAUUUGAUUAUUUAAAUAUUUAAAAAUAUAUUUUUUAUUUUUUUUUAAAAUAAAUCUAUAUAAAAUCAAAUCAUUAAUAAAUAUAUAAAUUUAUAAUUUAUAUUAAAUAAAGAAAAAUAUUAAAUAUUAAAUUAACGAAAGUAAGAGGUAUGACAGGAUUGGCAAGAAAACCCCUAGGGUCAACCACAAGCAAAAGUAUAGAGGGAUAUUUGCAAAUGGGACAUGGUCACCUUGCCUUUAAUUGGGCAAGUCAGGGUGGCGGCUCAUGGAAAAAAAUUUACUAAAUUUUUAUAUUAGACACUUGCUAACAUAGAGAGAGAGAGAAACCAUGAACCAUAAUUUUUUUUGUAAAUGCAUUAUUAAUUGUUCCAUAGAUUUAUGCAACAUGUACAAGUAGCAGGCUUGAGAAAUUAUGGUUGUAUAAACUUAUGCAAUAAUUAUGUCAGCAUUUAUGUAAAGGAAAAUUAAUCACUGCAAUUGCAAAUAGCCUUAUGAUUAG
This 648-nucleotide unclassified non-coding RNA is filed under the name Hevea brasiliensis (rubber tree). Lineage: Eukaryota; Viridiplantae; Streptophyta; Magnoliopsida; Malpighiales; Euphorbiaceae. The record is from RNAcentral.